Molecule: long non-coding RNA, 1121 nt
Filed under: Mus pahari (shrew mouse)
Lineage: Eukaryota; Metazoa; Chordata; Mammalia; Rodentia; Muridae
Description: predicted gene, 20324 (MGP_PahariEiJ_G0002762.1)
Source: RNAcentral
GCAUCCACAUGGCCUCAGGUGUUCGCGCGGCAGCUCCGCCGGCCCCGGCCGGCCCCUCCCCGGCCCGCUCCCAGCCCGGCCCUCCACCGCGGCUGCCUCGCCCCCAGCCCGCGGCCAAGAGGCCAGCAACGCCGGUCCCCGCGGGGCUGCCAAGAACCUGGACCCCUCAGCACCUCAGGCCGCAACGACCGGCCUCCCGUGAAAGGGUCAUUCACUACCAAAGCUGUCCCGACGCAUAGGUUGGAACGGCUGCCUCAGAUGGUGGUACCUACCGUGUGCCAAUCCCUCUGCUAUGCAAAGUGACGCUAAUGAGGAGAGGGUGGGGUUGGACAUGUAUACCCUGCUUUUCGCACACUCAGAAACCUCUCCACUUUGGACCUCACAGAUACAAGAGGAAGGAGAAGAGUUUGGAUUAUGUGUCCCUAAAACUACUGAUUCUAAACUAAGCCAGCAUCCAGCCUAGAUGUUGGGGAGUCUGUGGCUUCCCCUCAUAAAGCAACCCAACUUGAGAGGAAACUGGAAUCCAAAACAUGCUUUGGGUGUAAGGUCUCACUUUGCCUCAAGGGGACAAGAAGGAUACAAGAGAGCUCACUAGGAACAGGAUGCAGAGAAACACUGGGUCCAGUCCCGGCCUCCUUUCCCAUGCUCUCAAGGACAACUGCCAAGCACAUGUGUGAUGCCUUGGGAACAGAGAGCACCAGGAGUCAUGGAUUCUCCAACUCACCACCAGUCCUUGACUCUCUUUAGUGAGCCACUCAUCCCUACCGCCAACUCACUGCAGUCCCAUGAGUGCUUCUCCCUGGCUAAACAGUGUGCGGUGGCUUCCAAAGUCCCACUCUCCUGGACACAAAGCCCUCUCUUGGCUUAGCUCAAAGUGCCAACCUCCACUCCCUUGUUUCAUUGUUUCUGCCAAACCAAACAAGUUGUGUCCCUGGCCUAGCAAAUUCCCAGAGGCAGAGGAGCCUGCCUCUGCAGAAACUAAGGUAUUUCUACCUUGCUUUUUCAGGUCCAACUCAAAUGCUGCCUCCUUAAUAACCAUUCAUUCAUUCAUUCAUUCACUCAACACCGGCUGACUCUUUAUCCUAUUCCAAGCAUUGAAUAAAGGGUCCUUGUUGUCAUGA